RNAcentral lists this ribosomal RNA (311 nucleotides) under uncultured bacterium. RNAcentral describes it as "bacterial SSU rRNA". It matches the Rfam family "Bacterial small subunit ribosomal RNA", at positions 27 to 324 of the family's 1533-position model. The record is from RNAcentral.
GAGCGAACGUUGGCGGCGCGCUUAACACAUGCAAGUCGAACGCGAAAAGGGGCAACCCUGAGUAGAGUGGCGCACGGGUGCGUAACACGUAGGCAAUCUGCCCUAUGGAGGGGGAUAACCAUCCGAAAGGAUGGCUAAUACCGCGUAAGACCACGACUGCUUCGGCAGAUGCGGUCAAAGUUGGCCUCUACUUGUAAGCUAACACCAAAGGACGAGCCUGCGGCCCAUCAGCUAGUUGGCAAGGUAACGGCUUACCAAGGCUAAGACGGGUAGCUGGUCUGAGAGGAUGAUCAGCCACACUGGCACUGAAA